This 497-nucleotide ribosomal RNA is filed under the name uncultured bacterium. Its description in RNAcentral is "partial 16S ribosomal RNA". It matches the Rfam family "Bacterial small subunit ribosomal RNA", at positions 28 to 507 of the family's 1533-position model. The record is from RNAcentral.
GAUGAACGCUGGCGGCGUGCCUAAUACAUGCAAGUCGAGCGAACAGACGAGGAGCUUGCUCCUCUGACGUUAGCGGCGGACGGGUGAGUAACACGUGGAUAACCUACCUAUAAGACUGGGAUAACUUCGGGAAACCGGAGCUAAUACCGGAUAAUAUAUUGAACCGCAUGGUUCAAUAGUGAAAGACGGUUUUGCUGUCACUUAUAGAUGGAUCCGCGCCGCAUUAGCUAGUUGGUAAGGUAACGGCUUACCAAGGCAACGAUGCGUAGCCGACCUGAGAGGGUGAUCGGCGACACUGGAACUGAGACACGGUCCAGACUCCUACGGGAGGCAGCAGUAGGGAAUCUUCCGCAAUGGGCGAAAGCAUGACGGAGCAACGCCGCGUGAGUGAUGAAGGUCUUCGGAUCGUAAAACUCUGUUAUUAGGGAAGAACAAAUGUGUAAGUAACUAUGCACGUCUUGACGGUACCUAAUCAGAAAGCCACGGCUAACUACGUG